UACGAGGGGGGCAAGCGUUGUUCGGAAUUAUUGGGCGUAAAGGGUGCGUAGGCGGCGCGGUAAGUCGGGUGUGAAAUCUCGGAGCUUAACUCCGAAACUGCAUUCGAUACUGCCGUGCUUGAGGACUGGAGAGGAGACUGGAAUUUACGGUGUAGCGGUGAAAUGCGUAGAUAUCGUAAGGAAGACCAGUGGCGAAGGCGGGUCUCUGGACAGUUCCUGACGCUGAGGCACGAAGGUCAGGGGAGCAAACGGG
This 253-nucleotide ribosomal RNA is filed under the name uncultured bacterium. RNAcentral describes it as "partial 16S ribosomal RNA". It matches the Rfam family "Bacterial small subunit ribosomal RNA", at positions 524 to 776 of the family's 1533-position model. The record is from RNAcentral.